Molecule: ribosomal RNA, 253 nt
Filed under: uncultured bacterium
Lineage: Bacteria
Description: partial 16S ribosomal RNA
Rfam family: Bacterial small subunit ribosomal RNA
Source: RNAcentral
UACGGGGGGGGCAAGCGUUGUUCGGAAUUACUGGGCAUAAAGGGCGCGUAGGCGGCCCUCUAAGUCAGACGUGAAAUCCCUCGGCUCAACCGGGGAACUGCGUCUGAUACUGGAGGGCUUGAAUCCGGGAGAGGGAUGUGGAAUUCCAGGUGUAGCGGUGAAAUGCGUAGAUAUCUGGAGGAACACCGGUGGCGAAGGCGGCAUCCUGGACCGGUAUUGACGCUGAGGCGCGAAAGCUAGGGGAGCAAACGGG